Small nucleolar RNA from Cavia aperea (Brazilian guinea pig), 147 nucleotides. The record is from Ensembl. Lineage: Eukaryota; Metazoa; Chordata; Mammalia; Rodentia; Caviidae.
CUGGCCCUGAAUCAAGGCCGGCAGCUUCCUGACGCUGUUGGCUUCAAGCAGGAGCCUAAAGAGAUGUCUUUCUCUCUAAAGAGAUGGUCUGUUGGCCAUUUCAGAACUUGGGCAGUGAAAUGGUCAAUCCAUUAGAAAGCAAUGGCU